Molecule: ribosomal RNA, 253 nt
Filed under: uncultured bacterium
Lineage: Bacteria
Description: partial 16S ribosomal RNA
Rfam family: Bacterial small subunit ribosomal RNA
Source: RNAcentral
UACGUAGGUGGCAAGCGUUGUCCGGAUUUACUGGGUGUAAAGGGCGUGCAGCCGGAGAGACAAGUCAGAUGUGAAAUCCACGGGCUCAACCCGUGAACUGCAUUUGAAACUGCUUCCCUUGAGUGUCGGAGAGGUAAUCGGAAUUCCUUGUGUAGCGGUGAAAUGCGUAGAUAUAAGGAAGAACACCAGUGGCGAAGGCGGAUUACUGGACGAUAACUGACGGUGAGGCGCGAAAGCGUGGGGAGCAAACAGG